Long non-coding RNA from Myotis daubentonii (Daubenton's bat), 332 nucleotides. RefSeq lists it as uncharacterized. NCBI's taxonomy places the organism in Eukaryota, Metazoa, Chordata, Mammalia, Chiroptera, Vespertilionidae. The transcript has 3 exons. The record is from RefSeq and is a predicted model, not a curated record.
UGUAGCGCCCGAGCCUCCGCCCCUUGCUGGCGCGUUCUUGGUGCGGUGGUCUUUGCUGCUCAGAUCACGUGGCCCCGCCCCUGCUCACGCGCCCAUUGCACAGGUGAAGCUACUGCGGCACAGAGAGGGCGAGUGGCUUCUUCCUUGGAGGGUGCACAGCAGUAAAAGGACGGAGCUGGAAAUGGACCCUGGGCCGCCCAGAGCCUCUGUCUCCUUGACCUGUGACCUCUGGCCGUGUAUCCUGGACUUGUCAUAGCAGUGGCAGAGGUCCAAGGGACCUGAAAUAACUUAAGACCUCUUCAAACCUAGCUCAGAAUCAGCAUGGUCUUCUG